Molecule: ribosomal RNA, 492 nt
Filed under: uncultured bacterium
Lineage: Bacteria
Description: partial 16S ribosomal RNA
Rfam family: Bacterial small subunit ribosomal RNA
Source: RNAcentral
AGUGAACGCUGGCGGUAGGCCUAACACAUGCAUGUCGAACGGCAGCACAGUAAGAGCUUGCUCUUACGGGUGGCGAGUGGCGGACGGGUGAGGAAUACAUCGGAAUCUACUUUUUUGUGGGGGAUAACGUAGGGAAACUUACGCUAAUACCGCAUACGACCUACGGGUGAAAGCAGGGGAUCUUCGGACCUUGCGCGAUUGAAUGAGCCGAUGUCGGAUUAGCUAGUUGGCGGGGUAAAGGCCCACCAAGGCGACGAUCCGUAGCUGGUCUGAGAGGAUGAUCAGCCACACUGGAACUGAGACACGGUCCAGACUCCUACGGGAGGCAGCAGUGGGGAAUAUUGGACAAUGGGCGCAAGCCUGAUCCAGCCAUACCGCGUGGGUGAAGAAGGCCUUCGGGUUGUAAAGCCCUUUUGUUGGGAAAGAAAAGCAGCAGGUUAAUACCCCGCUGUUCUGACGGUACCCAAAGAAUAAGCACCGGCUAACUUCGUG